This 243-nucleotide unclassified non-coding RNA is filed under the name Hevea brasiliensis (rubber tree). The record is from RNAcentral. Lineage: Eukaryota; Viridiplantae; Streptophyta; Magnoliopsida; Malpighiales; Euphorbiaceae.
AAACAUCAAGCACCUUUACUAUAAAUAGUUUCGAGAAAUUGUUCAAAAAAUAGGGGUAUACUAUAACAGCAAUCGAACAGAUAAGAUAAAUUGACUUGUAAUGCUGCUAUGAAAAGCAAUAAAAGCAAAACAAGAAAACGCAUAAUAACCUUUUCGGUGCUGGGAAAGAGACCGCGAAGAGUAGCGAGAUGGGCGUUAAUCCUCUCUCUCCUCCUCCUUUCUGCCUCACUAUGGCUCUUCAGA